GUAAGGAAUAUUGGUCAAUGGACGCAAGUCUGAACCAGCCAUGCCGCGUGGAGGAUGAAGGUCCUCUGGAUUGUAAACUUCUUUUAUCUGGGACGAAAAAGGGGCAUUCUUGCUCAACUGACGGUACCAGAUGAAUAAGCACCGGCUAACUCCGUGCCAGCAGCCGCGGUAAUACGGAGGGUGCAAGCGUUAUCCGGAUUCACUGGGUUUAAAGGGUGCGUAGGCGGAUAUGUAAGUCCGUGGUGAAAUCUCUGGGCUUAACCCGGAAACUGCCAUGGAUACUAUGUGUCUUGAAUGUUGUUGAGGUGAGCGGAAUAUGUCAUGUAGCGGUGAAAUGCUUAGAUAUGACAUAGAACACCAAUUGCGAAGGCAGCUCACUAAGCAAAUAUUGACGCUGAGGCACGAAAGCGUGGGGAUCAAACAGGAUUAGAUACCCUUGUAGUCC
This 445-nucleotide ribosomal RNA is filed under the name uncultured bacterium. RNAcentral describes it as "bacterial SSU rRNA". It matches the Rfam family "Bacterial small subunit ribosomal RNA", at positions 354 to 796 of the family's 1533-position model. The record is from RNAcentral.